UGGUAUCUGCCUGGGGGUGUCUCACAG
Molecule: non-coding RNA, 27 nt
Filed under: Rattus norvegicus (Norway rat)
Lineage: Eukaryota; Metazoa; Chordata; Mammalia; Rodentia; Muridae
Source: RNAcentral